Molecule: microRNA, 20 nt
Filed under: Bos taurus (domestic cattle)
Lineage: Eukaryota; Metazoa; Chordata; Mammalia; Artiodactyla; Bovidae
Description: bta-miR-2409
Source: miRBase by way of RNAcentral
UCUCACAUGGACGCUGCCCU